CGGGUGAGUAAUGUAUGGGGAUCUGCCUGAUGGCGGGGGAUAACCACUGGAAACGGUAGCUAAUACCGCAUAAUGUCUGCGGACCAAAGCGGGGGACCUCCGGGCCUCGCGCCAUCAGAUGAACCCAUAUGGGAUUAGCUUGUAGGUAAGGUAACGGCUUACCUAGGCGACGAUCCCUAGCUGGUCUGAGAGGAUGAUCAGCCACACUGGGACUGAGACACGGCCCAG
Molecule: ribosomal RNA, 228 nt
Filed under: uncultured bacterium
Lineage: Bacteria
Description: partial 16S ribosomal RNA
Rfam family: Bacterial small subunit ribosomal RNA
Source: RNAcentral